Molecule: ribosomal RNA, 616 nt
Filed under: uncultured bacterium
Lineage: Bacteria
Description: bacterial SSU rRNA
Rfam family: Bacterial small subunit ribosomal RNA
Source: RNAcentral
ACUCCUACGGGAGGCAGCAGUGGGGAAUUUUGGACAAUGGGCGAAAGCCUGAUCCAGCAAUGCCGCGUGAGUGAAGAAGGCCUUCGGGUUGUAAAGCUCUUUUGUCAGGGAAGAAACGGUGAGAGCUAAUAUCUCUUGCUAAUGACGGUACCUGAAGAAUAAGCACCGGCUAACUACGUGCCAGCAGCCGCGGUAAUACGUAGGGUGCAAGCGUUAAUCGGAAUUACUGGGCGUAAAGCGUGCGCAGGCGGUUUUGUAAGUCUGAUGUGAAAUCCCCGGGCUCAACCUGGGAAUUGCAUUGGAGACUGCAAGGCUAGAAUCUGGCAGAGGGGGGUAGAAUUCCACGUGUAGCAGUGAAAUGCGUAGAUAUGUGGAGGAACACCGAUGGCGAAGGCAGCCCCCUGGGUCAAGAUUGACGCUCAUGCACGAAAGCGUGGGGAGCAAACAGGAUUAGAUACCCUGGUAGUCCACGCCCUAAACGAUGUCUACUAGUUGUCGGGUCUUAAUUGACUUGGUAACGCAGCUAACGCGUGAAGUAGACCGCCUGGGGAGUACGGUCGCAAGAUUAAAACUCAAAGGAAUUGACGGGGACCCCCACAAGCGGUGGAGCAUGUGG